Long non-coding RNA from Mauremys reevesii (Reeves's turtle), 2741 nucleotides. RefSeq lists it as uncharacterized. The transcript has 7 exons. The record is from RefSeq and is a predicted model, not a curated record. NCBI's taxonomy places the organism in Eukaryota, Metazoa, Chordata, Testudines, Geoemydidae.
UCCCAGCGACUGUGCCAAAAUUUCCUCUUCACCCCACUAUUAUGCAGUGUGGAGGUUGGCUUGCACCCUUUCCCCUGUAGCUGAAUUUCAUUUGUGCUGUAGGCACAGGACCAAAUGCUGCUUUAGCCACUGCUGGACAGGGAUUGUGUCAGACGCAUCAUUUUUUUCCGACAGCCUUCUCUGUAGGGAAGGAUUUCACCAGGCAGGUCUGAGGGAUACAUUAGGCUGCUGUACUGACAAGGAGCACUGUUGGCACUGGCAGUUACAGGUUAUAUUCUAAUCAAUUUCCGGACCUUUCCAAAGAAAGAAAGAAACAGGAUCCUGCAAGGGUCUCUUUCUGCAGUCGUCAGCAGAGCCAAUGACCAAGAGCUCCAUACCCUAGCCACAGCUUUGGACUUCUGUGCACUUCCUUUGAGCUAAUGGGCGCCAACUGGCUAACUUCUGGCUCUCCUCUGAUCUGGAAUCUUGGAGACGUCACACCUGGUCACUCUCAAGAUGCAAAGAGGUAGCACACCUGCUCAUGCUCCCACUGAAAUCAAUGGUGAUUUUUCUAUCAACGGCCCUUGAAGGUGGAUUGCACAAAGCACCGGAGGAUACACUGCGGGGAACAAUCUUGCAUUGGCAAAAAGGGAAUGGACUAUCAGAAACCAGGAAGUGCAGAUACCGGUAGAAGUUAGAAAUUAAGUUAAUGAAAUUAGAAUGAAUGAAGAAACAAAACUGAACAUAUGUAAACUUUGAGAGUGAUGUGGUUGGGGGCCAAAUCUGGAUCUGAAUUUGUCACUGGCCCCAAAAGAACUGAUUUCAACACUCCUUCAAGUUAAGUUGUUUUCAACAAUCCUGUUUAUCAUUAAUAAAAUGUAGUAACUAAAAUACAGAUGUGAAUUUUGCUGUUUGGGCCCAUCUCUGGUAAGCAACAAGAAGAAAUGAGGAAAUGAUUUCAAACCCCAAUGAAAGAAUUUGCUUUGGUUCAUUUUAAUUUUUGGCUGAAGGUUCAAGUCAGUUUUUAUUUUCCCUGAAUCAGUUUCCUCAUCUCAGGGCCUGUUCCUGUUCCCAUGGAAAUUACUGGUAAAACUCCUAUUGACUUUAAUGGUGCAGGAUCAAAACCCUAAUGAGGGAGGUAUUAUGAGGUGCAGAAUAAAAUAAGUAUGUGUUUGUAGGGAUUUGUCACCACUGUGGUUCCAUGGAAAGUGGAAGGAAACUUCAGUUAGAACCUAAGGUAGUAGGGAUCCAAACAUAUGACCUAAUAGUUGGGUUAGAAGGCUAUGCUUGUUCUGACAAUGAAAUAAAGGUUCUUGGAUAGAUUUAUUAGUGCUGACAAACAUGAAGUAUUGCCUGUUGUCAGCUAACUGAGAGUAAUUUACCAUUAAUUACUUGAUUUUUAAAGGAAACUUAACUUGUAUCCCCUUUUUGUCCAAGCAAUUAACUGUUGGUGCAAAUGGUGUUAUGUGCAAUAGGCACCUAUGCCUAGCUCCACAGAGGGAUUUAGAUGACUAAGUCUCAGUUUUAGGCACCGUUGCGAUCCACAACCCCCCUGCUUGGCUGCUGCCUAACUCUGUAGGUGCAUCAAUUCACUCGGCACCUAAACUUUCACCAUUAAGUUCCUGCCCCUGAGCAUGCACACUGCUGCCUCACUCUGGGCAUCUGGAUGCUUAGUUCCAGCCUAAGCCCCAGCGUGAUCCACAGACCAGCCCAGGGGCUGGAGCACUCACCUGUGAUGUCAGAGACCCCAGUUCAAUUCCCCUGUCUGCAGGAGUAGGAGUGAGGAUUUGAACAAGGAUCUCCCAUCUCUCAGGUGCCUAUGUUGAUUUGUGGAUCUGGGCCCUGCCUACCUGAUUUGUGGGCAAAAGCAGACAGACAGGCAUCACUAGGCCUUUCUUUGCUCCCACAAAAUUGCACCUGCAUUUAUUUGUGGUUGCUGAUUUUUAUGCAAAGAGAGAGAGGCAUGGAUUUAAAAAUCAGACCUUCAAACGAGAAUUCCAGGAAGAAAGGCAAAGGAGGGAGCUCUAUUUCUGAUGCCACAUCUCCACUGCACUGGGCCCACCAGAGGGUCCAGGACACCAUUCUUCUUCUCAUUGCAAAACUCUCAGAAGACUGAGGAAUCCAGACUGGCGGGAUAGAUGGAGUGUCGUCAUGUUUUUUCUUCUUGCUAAAAAGUUCCCUCAGAAAAGUUCCACCUUAGCAGGAUGUGGGGAAAACGUCACUGAUCAUAAUGAUAAGAAGCUAUUCAAACUGCUGAAGCACAACUUUGAAGGUCAAAAUGAAUUGUGUGAUUUAUGAGAAAUAAACACCUACCAUAAAGAGGCUAUAGAAUAAAGGGCGUGUGACUGAAUUAAGUUUAAGUAUCUCUGGAGUCCAUUGUAUUAAAUGCAAAGGUUAUGUAUUAUUGUGGGACUGGAUGAUGAAAGGACUGUACUGAAUAAUGGGCAGACAAGAAUGGUCUUUUGGGACAAUACAUGUGAAGUGGAUUUCCUGGGAAAUACCUAGGGGGACUUGAAUGCAAAUCCUCCUCUCUCACUCGCCACCCUCUUAUUAUGCAAAAGCCCAGCCUUUUGAAACUAUGCCCUGAGGAAGGGACCAUUGCCUAUGGAUUACCUGUUCCUGGAGUCUCAAGAUCAAAGGCUUCGGCUGUAUAAAGGAAAGACUACCCUAUGCAGGGGAGCUCAUUCUGAGCUGAGGCUGUUCUGAACUCGUAACCACAGAAAAACCCAUUGGUGGGGUUUGAAGGACUUAUGCCUACCAGA